Molecule: RNA transcript, 804 nt
Organism: Dromaius novaehollandiae (emu)
Lineage: Eukaryota; Metazoa; Chordata; Aves; Casuariiformes; Dromaiidae
Exons: 4
Source: RefSeq, a predicted model, not a curated record
UACCGCUGCCGUUCCCGCCGUUGGGGCUGGGCGGGGCGGGGAGAGGCGUCGCUUCACGGCCGGGAAAAGCGGGUUUCCCGCUGUUUUCCGAUCGUCUCUGGAGCCGGUUCUCCGCAGUGGCGCCAUGGUGACACCUCGCCGGCUGCCGUAGUUGCGGCUGGCGGCCGUUAUCGCGACAGAGGGGGCGACAUGGGCGGUGCCGGGCGUCCGCACCUGGGGCACUCCGGUGCCCAGCCAGCCCGGCACUAAGUCCUCGGCACUGAGUCCAGCCGCAUAGCCAUAUCGCGACAGGCCCGAUACACUGCUCUGCCUGGCUGCCGGCCCCUCCUCGCCCGAGGCGAGGCUCUGCGCUGAGGAAGAACUUCAUCGGUUCUGUCAUCUAUUCCUUUACAGAUUCUAUUUUAUGUAAAUGGAAUUUAUUACAUCUUUUACUUCUUGGCAACUCUUGCAAUGAUUGUUUAUAAAAGUGAGUAGCAUGUGUUCUAACGCAGAAAUAGGCUGUGUGCUUAAAAUAUGCUUGUGUUUUGUCAAUAUGCCUACUGUAUUUUUGUGGCUUAUUUACCCUGUGUUAUUCUACAGGUCAAGUUUUCAGUUACCCAGAUAAUUUUUUGGCUCCUGAUCUUGCAUUGCUUUUUAUUAUGGCCAUUCUUGAAGCACUCCGAUUAUACUUUGGUUCAAAGGGUAACCUGACAGAAGAAGAGGCUCCAUUAGGGUUCAGUCUUGUGAUCACAGUCGGAAGUGUCAUUCUGUCUGUCUAUUUCCUGGUGUGGCAGACUUACGUACUAAAAGCAGAUGUCAUUUUAA